UACAGAGGGUGCGAGCGUUAAUCGGAAUUACUGGGCGUAAAGAGCGCGCAGGCGGUCGUUCAAGUCGCGUGUGAAAGCCCCCGGCUCAACUGGGGAGGGUCACGCGAUACUGAUCGACUCGAAGGCAGGAGAGGGUAGUGGAAUUCCCGGUGUAGUGGUGAAAUGCGUAGAUAUCGGGAGGAACACCUGUGGCGAAAGCGGCUCACUGGACCAUAACUGACGCUGAUGCACGAAAGCUGGGGGAGCAAACAGG
Molecule: ribosomal RNA, 253 nt
Filed under: uncultured bacterium
Lineage: Bacteria
Description: partial 16S ribosomal RNA
Rfam family: Bacterial small subunit ribosomal RNA
Source: RNAcentral